UGCCCGGUGGUGUAAUGGUAACACAUCAGUUUUUGGUACUGAGAUUCGAGGUUCGAGUCCUUGCCGGGCAA
Molecule: transfer RNA, 71 nt
Filed under: Bacteroidales bacterium
Lineage: Bacteria; Pseudomonadati; Bacteroidota; Bacteroidia; Bacteroidales
Description: tRNA-Gln
Rfam family: tRNA
About the family: Transfer RNA (tRNA) molecules are approximately 80 nucleotides in length. Their secondary structure includes four short double-helical elements and three loops (D, anti-codon, and T loops).
Source: RNAcentral